Arabidopsis lyrata subsp. lyrata is the source of this 1184-nucleotide long non-coding RNA. RefSeq lists it as uncharacterized. The transcript is spliced from 4 exons. NCBI's taxonomy places the organism in Eukaryota, Viridiplantae, Streptophyta, Magnoliopsida, Brassicales, Brassicaceae. The record is from RefSeq and is a predicted model, not a curated record.
AAAUAGCAAAAGCAAACAAAUGAAAAGAAAACUCUCUCAACCUCGAGCCACCCGUAAACCCUAGAUCUCUCACGGUCGCCGGCAAACCCAAUGGCUAAGAAAAAUAAAUCCCCGCCUAAGGGCUCUCAAACGAUGAGGAAGAAAGGAAAGGAAUUUACCUUAACCUCGGGUGAGCUCUGUGUUGAAAUUCCGGAACAAGCACCGAUGGGAGAAAUUCAUCAUAGAUCUGUUUCACGGGAAUGCUCCUAGUCCAGGUGCUCUUCACGCCAUCACAAACGGCAUUUGGAGCAACAGAUUACGUGAUAUUACGGUUUUUAAGCUCUCGGAUAAAUCUUUUCUUAUCAAGAUCUCGAACCCAGAAACUCGGAAGAGGGUCCUGGUUUGUCUCCGAAGAUCCCAACUCUCACUAGAGUUCUUGGACAAUUUUCUAGAAGCUCUUCACUUAUGUGUGUAAGAAGCCGAUAGAUGGUUUCAUAGCUGGGUUCGUUGAUGAGAAUGAUGUUUUCCAAUGGAGCUUCUCAAUUAUGGGUUGUACCUAUUGCAAGUGGUAACUAGCUUUUGCAUCUUGUAAAUCUUCUUUGUGGAACGAAGUAGCUAACACAAUUGAGGUGUAAAAUAAAUUUUCUGAUUUUUUUUUUGCGUCUUGAACCUAGUUUUGGAUUAAAAUUAUCAUGCUUAUAGAUAGUCACAAAUUCACCAGACUAAUACUUUGGUCGUAUCUUUGUUACAGAUUUAGAGGAAAAUAUGAUUGAGAAACAGUCUCACACCACUAAUUCACUAACAACACUACGUAUUGCUCGAAGAUUGUUGUGAUGGAAGUCAUGAGUAUGAUGGUCAAGUGACAUGCCCAAAUACAUGCUCGGAAUCUGAAAAGCUGCUCGAGAAAGUCUGAAGAAAAAAGUCAAGAGACAUAUAACCAAAGGUUUGUAAUUAUACAUUGGAGGUGGACUGGUGUCUUACCCAAUUCUCAGAUCGUCAAGAACGAAGGGGCCGAGUCACUCUUCAAGGGUGCAGGUGCCAACAUAGUGAUGGGAUUGUAAUUUGUACUUUGUGACUACUGACUUGACUACUGACUACAGUAAUUUGAUUUUGUAUUGAUAACCGAGCAAAACCAAAAUACGAUUUUGACUUUAUUUACACAAAACCGGAACCAAAUUACAAGUUUGGUUUCACUUCGGAUUGAA